Oncorhynchus mykiss (rainbow trout) is the source of this 1457-nucleotide long non-coding RNA. RefSeq lists it as uncharacterized. NCBI's taxonomy places the organism in Eukaryota, Metazoa, Chordata, Actinopteri, Salmoniformes, Salmonidae. The record is from RefSeq and is a predicted model, not a curated record.
ACCAGCUCCAGAGGUCUAUGUCACCGGUCUUCUAGGUGUCACUGAACGGGACUCAUUACCACCAACACUGGACUGUCUUGUCUCAUUACACACACCUGGUUCCCAUUCCCCCUGAUUAGAAUGUGUAUAUGUGUGCCCUCUGUUACCAUGGUCUUGUGAGUACCUGUGCUGUCGUAUCGGCUUACAUGCUACGUGUUAUUGGUUUACGGGGUCACGGCCCGUGUUUGAGGUUUACACCGUACACUUUUGUUUGGGUGGAGAAAAUAAAAAAACACUUUCUUAUUCCUGCUCCUGUCUCCGAUCAUUAUACAACGUGACACCAUGGUGCUGUAAAGAAAGCUCUGCUGUUGGGACAGCUUUAUUAUGGAGGAUUUGGACUACUUUGAGCAGUUCCCAGGGAUGAAGAGGAAGCGUUGACUACGCCGGUGCCAGAGAUGGUGAAGCCCAGUCAUUCUUCAACGAGAGCUCGACUUCGAUGUAACGACUGCCAAUGACAGACCCAUUUCUCCUCUCCCAGCCAACCUUCCAUCAGCAGAUGGAACACUGUCCAGUACCACUGUAUCCCUGGGUGAACAAUAACCUCAUGUGCCUUCCACAGCACAAAUCAAUGAAGUGCUAUCCAUACCUGUACCAUCCCAAGUCAACCAACUGACAACUGAACCUUCACCGGAACUGGACUGUGAAAUGGCGAAACUCAACGACCCAGGAGGAGCCCAAAUAUAGAAGUACCCCCACACCUCUGAGCUUGUCUCCAACAUCACUCCACAGCAGCAUGGCUGAACACUUAGAGGCUGAGGAGGAGCAGGACGGAGGAACCUCCACCCUGAAUCAGAGAACCACACAUUGAACCUGAGCCACCUCACACAGAGAUCCAAGCCAACAUGCCUUCGCUGGAAGGUGUUUUAUAUCAGUGUGCAUCCCGCAACACCAGAUGUAGUGGCUCCCAGGCAGAUUGGGAAGAGUUUCCCGGUGUAGUGGCCACCUAUCUUUUGAAGUCACAGACAACACCUCAGAUUCAUCCAUGACUAGGGUUGCACAUUUUGGGGAAUAUUCAGAGGUGGAAACUUUCCUUGGGAAUAUGUGAACUAAUGGAAAUAUGGGAAUUAAUAUUAAUACCAAUUUAAAUAUAGAUGUUUUUUUGCAUUGGGUAUAUUUACCAUAUUUGGAGACAAACAAACAUUUGACCUUAUCAUAAGUAGACAUAAUUGCAAAUUAUCAAAUCCUUCCAAUAGAAAAAUAUAUAUACUUUAGUUAAGAAUUUAACUUUAAUUAAAUUAGCUGACUCCUCACAUGGGAUGAUUUCACUGAACAACAAAAGGGAAUAUCUAAUGAUCCAUCGCAUCUCCCAAAAACGUUCUCAACAUACAUCUGUAAAAUUAUAGUCUAGAAACUAAAGCUUUGGUUGUCUUCCUCUCAGGCUUCCAUGUCUCCUCCCUGGACCUCCUCAAUGUCCACCU